UUUCUUGGAAAACUAGUCACUUU
Molecule: small nuclear RNA, 23 nt
Filed under: Arabidopsis thaliana (thale cress)
Lineage: Eukaryota; Viridiplantae; Streptophyta; Magnoliopsida; Brassicales; Brassicaceae
Description: snRNA_16781
Source: RNAcentral